UUCCAUCUGAAUAUCUUCUGAUUCGUGCAUCACUGGAAGAGCUGGGCCUCUGGAGCAGAGCUGCUGUCCUUACUCAUCAAAUGAGAUCAAGAUGAGAGCCAGAGCGAGUUCAGCAAAGGAAAUCAUUUGGAUGCUGCCAAAGAAACAACUCUGUGUGCGGGCCUGUAUCCUGGGACUCA
Molecule: non-coding RNA, 179 nt
Organism: Odocoileus virginianus texanus
Lineage: Eukaryota; Metazoa; Chordata; Mammalia; Artiodactyla; Cervidae
Source: RefSeq, a predicted model, not a curated record